This 311-nucleotide long non-coding RNA is filed under the name Linum usitatissimum (flax). RNAcentral's name for it is "long non-coding RNA (LUSI_LNC000999)". The record is from RNAcentral. Lineage: Eukaryota; Viridiplantae; Streptophyta; Magnoliopsida; Malpighiales; Linaceae.
UUGGAUCCUUCUCGGUUCUGUUGGCACUCUUUAGAACAAAAAAUCCAUGGAGAGAUCUAGAUCUAAACGGAAUUACUACUAUGAUAACCCGGACUACGACAAUGACUCGACCGGUAGGACAAAACCUCGUUACAACAACCAUCAAUACUCUCCCGCCGCCGCCGCAGCCAACUCCCACCACAACAACAACGGAAGCCGACACAGUCGUCCGAAUAACCCUAAUGUGAAUAAUCGUCAGUCUUCUUCCAAGACUCAGCAGCAGGACACUUCCCUGAUGGUUACCACAACCUACCGCAUACUUUGUCACGAUU